AAGGGAGGUGGAGGUGGCAGGGGGCUGUGUCAGGGCUCCUGGGGUCAAGGAGAAGGCCUUCUUGUUCUAUUAGUUCCCAAGAGAGCUGGUUGUUGAAAAAAGCCUGACACCUCCCCCAUCUCUCUCUUGCUUCCCCUUUUGAGAAAAAAAGAAAAAGAAAAGAAAACACAUGAACAGAAUCAUCUCUCACAAGGGCUUCUGGAGACAGCGUGUGAAAAAAAUCAUCUCUCACAACUGCUUCUUUGCUCCUUACUUUUGCAGGAGGCUUCCACCCCGCAGGGGCACCCACCCCUGAUAUACCAGCACCAGCUCCAUCAGCCCCUGGCUGCAGUAGGGCUUACCCUAAUGACCUUA
This 354-nucleotide long non-coding RNA is filed under the name Homo sapiens (human). RNAcentral's name for it is "non-protein coding lnc-PLA2G2C-4:1". Lineage: Eukaryota; Metazoa; Chordata; Mammalia; Primates; Hominidae. The record is from RNAcentral.